RNAcentral lists this ribosomal RNA (253 nucleotides) under uncultured bacterium. Its description in RNAcentral is "partial 16S ribosomal RNA". It matches the Rfam family "Bacterial small subunit ribosomal RNA", at positions 524 to 776 of the family's 1533-position model. The record is from RNAcentral.
UACGUAGGGAGCAAGCGUUGUCCGGAAUCAUUGGGCGUAAAGCGCGCGUAGGCGGCCCUGUAAGUCCGUUGUGAAAGUCAAAGGCUCAACCUUUGAAAGCCGAUGGAUACUGCAGGGCUAGAGUCCGGAAGAGGCGAGUGGAAUUCCUGGUGUAGCGGUGGAAUGCGCAGAUAUCAGGAGGAACACCAAUAGCGAAGGCAGCUCGCUGGGACGGUACUGACGCUGAGGAGCGAAAGCGUGGGGAGCAAACAGG